GGGGGUGUAGCUCAGUUGGGAGAGCGUCUGCUUUGCACGCAGAAGGUCGCAGGUUCGAUCCCUGUCAUCUCCACCA
This 76-nucleotide transfer RNA is filed under the name bacterium. RNAcentral describes it as "tRNA-Ala". It matches the Rfam family "tRNA". From Rfam's summary of the family: Transfer RNA (tRNA) molecules are approximately 80 nucleotides in length. Their secondary structure includes four short double-helical elements and three loops (D, anti-codon, and T loops). Further hydrogen bonds mediate the characteristic L-shaped molecular structure. tRNAs have two regions of fundamental functional importance: the anti-codon, which is responsible for specific mRNA codon recognition, and the 3' end, to which the tRNAs corresponding amino acid is attached (by aminoacyl-tRNA synthetases). tRNAs cope with the degeneracy of the genetic code in two manners: having more than one tRNA (with a specific anti-codon) for a particular amino acid; and 'wobble' base-pairing, i.e. permitting non-standard base-pairing at the 3rd anti-codon position. The record is from RNAcentral.